UGGGGAAUUUUGGACAAUGGGCGAAAGCCUGAUCCAGCAAUGCCGCGUGUGUGAAGAAGGCCUUCGGGUUGUAAAGCACUUUUGUCCGGAAAGAAAUCCUUGGCUCUAAUACAGUCGGGGGAUGACGGUACCGGAAGAAUAAGCACCGGCUAACUACGUGCCAGCAGCCGCGGUAAUACGUAGGGUGCAAGCGUUAAUCGGAAUUACUGGGCGUAAAGCGUGCGCAGGCGGUUUGCUAAGACCGAUGUGAAAUCCCCGGGCUCAACCUGGGAACUGCAUUGGUGACUGGCAGGCUAGAGUAUGGCAGAGGGGGGUAGAAUUCCACGUGUAGCAGUGAAAUGCGUAGAGAUGUGGAGGAAUACCGAUGGCGAAGGCAGCCCCCUGGGCCAAUACUGACGCUCAUGCACGAAAGCGUGGGGAGCAAACAGGAUUAAAUACCCUGGUAGUCCACGCCCUAAACGAUGUCAACUAGUUGUUGGGGAUUCAUUUCCUUAGUAACGUAGCUAACGCGUGAAGUUGACCGCCUGGGGGAGUACGGUCGCAAGAUUAAAACUCAAAGG
RNAcentral lists this ribosomal RNA (560 nucleotides) under uncultured bacterium. RNAcentral's name for it is "partial 16S ribosomal RNA". It matches the Rfam family "Bacterial small subunit ribosomal RNA", at positions 355 to 907 of the family's 1533-position model. The record is from RNAcentral.